AAUCUGCCUAUAACUGAGGGAUAGCCCAGAGAAAUUUGGAUUAAUACCUCAUAAUAUUGUUUUUUGGCAUCAUUAAACAAUUAAAACUUCGGUGGUUAUAGAUGAGCAUGCGUCCUAUUAGCUUGUUGGUAAGGUAACGGCUUACCAAGGCAACGAUAGGCAGGGGGCCUGAAAGGGUGAUCCCCCACACUGGUACUGAGACACGGACCAGACUCCUACGGGAGGCAGCAGUGAGGAAUAUUGCGCAAUGGAGGAAACUCUGACGCAGCCAUGCCGCGUGCAGGAAGACGGCCCUACGGGUUGUAAACUGCUUUUAUAUAGGAAGAAACCCCGAUACGUGUAUCGGCUUGACGGUACUAUAUGAAUAAGGACCGGCUAACUCCGUGCCAGCAGCCGCGGUAAUACGGAGGGUCCAAGCGU
RNAcentral lists this ribosomal RNA (420 nucleotides) under uncultured bacterium. RNAcentral describes it as "bacterial SSU rRNA". It matches the Rfam family "Bacterial small subunit ribosomal RNA", at positions 123 to 541 of the family's 1533-position model. The record is from RNAcentral.